UAGCGUAUAUUAAAGUUGUUGCGGUUAAAAAGCUCGUAGUUGGAUUUCUGUUUUAGCAAGCCGGUCCACACUAUGUGUGAGUAUCUGGUUCGGCUAGAGCAUCCUCCUGAGGAACGUUGGUGCGCUUUAUUGCGUGGCACGGAAUUCAGGACUUUUACUUUGAGGAAAUUAGAGUGUUCACGGCAGGCGCUUGCCCUGAAUAUAUUAGCAUGGAAUAAUGAUAUAGGACCCACGUUCUAUUUUGUUGGUUUCUAGAACGAGGGUAAUGAUUAAUAGGGAUAAUUGGGGGCACUCGUAUUAAGACGUC
Molecule: ribosomal RNA, 307 nt
Filed under: Amoebophrya sp.
Lineage: Eukaryota; Dinophyceae; Syndiniales; Amoebophryaceae
Description: SSU rRNA
Rfam family: Eukaryotic small subunit ribosomal RNA
Source: RNAcentral